RNAcentral lists this long non-coding RNA (929 nucleotides) under Danio rerio (zebrafish). RNAcentral describes it as "si:ch211-262n1.5 (ENSDARG00000091974.4)". Lineage: Eukaryota; Metazoa; Chordata; Actinopteri; Cypriniformes; Danionidae. The record is from RNAcentral.
GAAAAUUAACGUUAUCUCAACCAUUCUUGCGUGGUUAUAUUGUGUAUUUAUUGUCGUAUUUAGGACUAAUAACUAAAGUAAUUGCUAUAAAGAGAGAGGGACAUUGUCUUUGGUUUGAAUUGACAUUCAAAUAAGGCUAAUACAAUUGGACCUUUUAAGGUUUUGGUACAAAUGUGUUCAAUAAACACUCGCUGCAACUCAACUGGGGGCCAGAAGAAAGCAGCAGAAACGCGCUGAAGAUGUGUUGUGUCCCCCGCAGAGGCUCGGCUGCUCCACAAAUAGCCUUUUCAAGUAAGUUGCGGCGGGCCGUGCUCUCUUCAGAUCAAAGCCGAGGACAGAGAACAUGGGCCGUGUCCAUUACACGCACCUCUGGCUGCACGGACCAUCUAAACAACGCUUGAGGUGCUGGGAGUCGGAACAAAACCAUGGCUUUGGACUGCAAGGUCAAUGAGGACAAACAAUUCCAGCAGCGGCUCUCCAGCGCAUGCAGAAGAAAGUGUGGGGCGAGGGGGGGGGGAUGGACUCGUGCGCUGGCAGAGCUGGUGUCUCCGAGCGCUGGCAUAAUUUCCAUGGCAACCCCUCUAACUAUUAAUUUUCAAUUAAAGCAGACACAAAACGCCCUGCCCCGAGCUUGAGGAAGGUGUCAAGAGCGCAGAGCAGGAAACUGGGCCUUUCUGGAGCCACUCAGAGCCACUGGGCUCUUUCAUAGUGACAAAAAUCACACUGUAUUUAUUUCACCAAAUCACACCAGUGAUACACUCACAUCCCAACUGAACACAAGCAUGCUAAAAAUUAGCCAUGUUAGAAUUUUUGGGGGGAUUAUAGCCACGUUUAUGUCCCUUGGUGGUUUAGCAGAGGUGUUACCUCCCCCUUGUGUCGGCUUAAAAUCUGACAGGAUACUCAGCUGUCAAUAAAAACCUGUUUUGAGC